AAAACGGAAUUAAGUUGUAAACAAGUUUUCUAUGCUGUAACAAUGAAAAUAUUCCAUUUAUAAAUAACGGGGGAGUCACGAUACACUCCGCUCACGAGACGAGGCGAUGCACGAUAUUGGGUUCACGAGGACGAGGCAAUACUUUAACAUUACUUUUAAGAAAACUACGACAAAAUAUAGGAGUGAACAAAGUUUUUUUUUUAUAUUUAACUGAGUCCAUUUUUAAAUGUUUUCUAACUUUGCAUGAAUGACCUAAGCAUGAUGCUUUUAACUGUUGAACAUUUUUCCACAAAUUGAAACAAAAACUAAAAAUGACAAGUUAAAAUCAUGAUAUCAGUUGUAGCUACCACUGCUAAUCAUUUAUGUUGAUGUGUAGUUACGAAAGACGCUAAAAGAAAAACUACAGUUCCCAUUGUGCUUGGAGUACCUAACCAGGAAGCAGUGAAGAAGUCCGAAGUAGCCGAAAUAGACGCUAGGAUCACAGGUUUCGGUGGAAAUCACGUUCAGCUAUCGUGUUUUGAGCCUCAUUUGACUUAACAUUUGAUCAAAUUGAAGUCCGUUUGAUGAAGUGUAGAAUGGGACAUGACACCAACACAGCUGUUGAACUCCGAUGGGGGGAAAAAAAGCACCGCCGAGUGUCGCUGGGAACACCGAGGUCUCCUUGGGGGCUGUAGAGUUAGUAAUCAAGUGAAGCUCGGAUGUGAAAAAGCCAAGAAGACAUGAACCCUGGAGAGACAUAUUUUAUUUCAUGUGUCAUAUACUUCAGGAAACAAUAGACAAAGCAACGAUGUGGUCACCUUUUACUGAAUGAAUGUGUGACGGAGACGCCAGCAUGGUGGAAAAACAUUUUGCAGCGUUUGGGAUCCUGCCAUUCAACAGUGAAGGACAAACAAUAAGUAGGAUGGGACAUGCUUAUGGUGAAGAUCUUGUCUUUGUGUGUGUGCGUGCAUUUUGCGUGACAGGAAAGGUAAAAGAAGCCAACAGGAGAGGGACGUGUAGGUGAAUGAGACUUUCAACAAGGCACUAGCAUCAUAUCAAAGCAAACCCAACACUCCAAUAAAAUAAUCCGGGUUCUCUUUAUCUUAACAUGUUUAUUAUCAUACAUAAAAUUCACAUUUGACCUUGCCUGGUUGCGUCUUGCCCCCUUCCUACCUACACUGAGUGCAAAUCAAACUGCGUGGAUCACUACAACUCUUCAUAAAUAAAACCUUUGAAUUGAGUCCACUGGAACUGUACAAUGGAAUGGGCUUGCAGCUUGCAGAGAACAUGUUUCGAAUGGGAACCUCCAGGAUGUGCACGUGGGAAUGAUUCAAAGCAACACGCCGUCCCAUCUAUGAGAUUUUGUCUUAGGAAACCACACCAACACACCAGGCACUAUUUUGUCAGGGCCAUGAAAAGCUGCGAACAGACCACCGAACCACUAGGGGGUGGUUUCGUGCAUGUUAGCGCUUCACCCCAAGAGGGCAGAGGAGGGAAGAGAAUCAUGGCUUCGCCGAUAUUCGAGGAGGAAAGACUCAUGUUCCAAACGUGUGUUUAUGUACUUGCAUGCUCACAGCUUCAAUGAUCCAUGAGUUACCGUGACGGGAAAAGGCUAGCUAACGAACGUAGCCGCCUAGGUGCUGAUUAGUUGGGAUGUCCAAAGCUCUGAUAGGCAUGGCUUUCCAUGGCUUCCAUCUACAAAACAUAUUUACAACAUAGAUAACAUCUACAAAAAAUCUACACUUAUUUUUCUCUCAUGAGGUUUUUUUUUUGUUUUUUUUUGUUUUUUUAACAAAAUCUCCCCCCCCCACAUCCUCCUCUCCAAACAACUCUUCCUUUCCUCCCCUCUUGGUUCUCCCCCCCCCCUCGUCAAAGCGGCCCAUGUUAAGACAGGGCAACCGCUUUCCCUCUGGCCUCCAGCUAUGUGCAAUGGAUCUCACCCCACCCAACCCCUGUCAUUCCAGCUUCUACUUGCAACGAGAAGUUCUCAGACCAUGAAGGAAUUCUGGUUCUUCAACUUUUCAAGUUCUUUGAUUUGUUGUCUGAGGAAGAGUAUCCUGUGGGAGGAGUGCAGAGUGAGACAUGAGUCGUGUUUUCCACUACGACAGAUGCUUGUUCAUAAAGCAUACUUGCCUCUGCUCUCGCAAUGUGGCUUGGAUUUCAGACACUCGGACCAAGGAACGCAGGUUUUUCAGCUCGGUGCAGUUCUCAGACAUACAAAUACUUCCCAUCGUGUGAGCCUCUUCACGUAAUCUUGAUGCCUGGACACAAAAUGCUCCUUAUUAAGACUACAAGAUCAGGAUUCCAAUAACUUCUUUUAGUGCAUAUACUUAUACUAUUAGUGCAUAUAUUUAUACUUGAGCAGUUGGUCCAAACCUGUUUCUCUGCAUGCUCAGCAGGCCAACCUUGGACAUGUUUAAUAAGAUUCUCAUUGAAGUGGGCAGCAAGUGCGGGGGUGAAGGAGCAAGACGGUCGGGUCGCCACGGAAGUAGGUGGAGCAGACGCUGAAGUAGGGGCGUUGCUGGUGCCGCUGCCAGGUGGGACAUGGUUGGAUCCCGGGGAAGGACUCCUCUGACUGCUGCUGCUAACACAAAGUCCGAGUCAGUGUCCGCCAUGCAGCUGCUACAAUCAUGACAUGAGGACACACGUGCUUCUUCACACGGCAUCGCUUAGGAUGCCGUCAUUGCUAACAGGCAUGUGGAGGUGUGCUUACCCCUGGCGCUGAAGUGUGCGUGGAGAAGCGGUGCUAGCAUCGUGACUGUGUUGCUUGUCGCUGGGGAGGGGCUGCUGGGAUGUCUGCUGGGGAUGAGAUGUCUGCUUGAUGGCUGGUGUACUGGCCUACAAACAAGUACCAAAUGCAACAUGAUGACUUUUACGUAAGUGGCCAUUUAACAUCCUUGGGGUCUUGGAAUGGUUUCCAAGAUCUAUUUCUGAUCCAAAUUUAAAGCAGAGAGUCAUGGAAAAAAUGAUCAGACCACCCUUGUUUCUUCAGUUUAUUGAUCCAUUUGAAUGCCUGCUACAACUAAAGGUACAUCUGUUUGGACAAAUAGAAUGAUAACGUUUUCCUCUCACAUUCCAAAAACAUGCACGUUAGGUCAAUUAGCCACAGGUAUGAAUGUGGGAGUGAAUGGUUGUUUAUGUUCCCUGCCAUUGGCUGGCGACCAGUCCGGGGUGUACCCCACCCCUCGCCCGAGGUCAGCUGGGAUGGGCUCCAGCAUACCCACAACCCUAGUGAGGAUAAGCAGCAUAGAUGAUGGAUGGAUGAUAACAAAUAUAGCUCAUAAGAGUUGAAUUAAGAGCUGAUAUCUAGCAACCUCCAUGGUUUUCUUGAUGAUAACCAAAAUCACUGAAGUUCUCAGAUGAAUAGCUGUAGCAUUGUACUGCCAAAACAUGGAACUCUUACGAGCUAUUUUUGUUGUCAUUGUUGUAUUUGCCCAAACAAAGGUAACUUUAGUUGUACCAGGCAUUCAAGUGAACAAGAAGCUUCAGAAACAAGGGUGGUCAAAUCAUUUUAUCCAUGACUGUAUCUUCUUCUCCAAGCAUCUACCUUUGACAGUGAGAUGACGGGCUGUGUGCCGAGUAGGGGUUUGAGGGGACCAGCGUUGGUUUGUGGGGUGCUGAUGCGUGGAGAAACGUAGGACCUGGGUGAUGAGGCGUCUGACGUUAACGACAUCGGCGACUGGUUCGACUGCUGAGCUGCUGACAAAAAAAAUAAGAUCAUAUUAACCAAGAGGGACAAUCACCAAAACCUUCUCAAAAGCUGCUUGGACUGACCUUGGCUGGAGAGUUGAGCAGCUUGGGAGAGAAUUGUAGUAAUAUUGAAAGCUGAUGGUCCAGCAGUGAGGAUUUUAUGAAGCAUGGACUGUAACGAAGCUUGUGUGACAGCAGCUGUCAGAACUACAAAGGGGAGCACGUGAGUUACCUCAUAGAAAAACAUGCAAUGUACAAUAAUGUAUAAAGAUUGGCAGCAUACCUUCAUUGAUUUUCGCCAUGUCCACGCUGGCGUUAUUGAGCUGCAGGGCUGUCUGAAGUGCUGGAAGAAGCUGACGUAACAAGGUGGGGUCCUGCAGAAGCGGAGGGGCUGGGGACUGCAGGACCGGCGAGACGGGGACUGUGGAUGCUGAUGAUCCGGGGGGGGCCGAUGCGGGGUUCACGCUUGCUGAGCCAGAAGAUGAAGAUUGGGUGGCGUGAGUCGCUGCGGGCUUCUCCACCUGUGCUGACUCUGAAGACAACAGAAAGGUUAGAACUUUAAGCUGUUCACCCCGUUUAGAUACGAUACAUACAGUGAAAUUUCAUGAGGAACAAGACCACAUGACAAUGUACUGCAAUCUACUAAUAGAAUUUCUUGCUUUCUACAUUACACUCUUCUGCACUGUGUGUGUAUGCUAGCGGCCCGCCUCCACCCCACACCUAGUUUGCGACGCAUCUCCUUUGCCGUCAGUAUAUAAGAGAUUCAGUGCUAAAUAACAAAAACAUCUGAGAUUGAAAACCUGGAAGUCCUUACUUGAUGCUGAAAAGCCAGGGGGUGCUGAUGCCUGCAUGGCCUCCCUUCUGUAGUCUCUGUCCUUGGGGAAACUGUUGACAACUGCCGUCUGUUUUGUUGCGUCUUUUUGCCGCUGUUCUCUGCAAAAUAAGAGCGCAUGCGUCCAUGAAGUUGAGCCUGUGUUUGAAGAUUAAAAAUAUGAGAGUCAAGUGUACACUGCUACCUUUCCAGCCAUUCUUUGGGCUUCUCCCACUGGGACACCUCUGUUCGGCAGUUGUAAUAAUAUUUCUUCCCGGACGAGCUGAUGUGCUCCGACCAGUCAUCACCUGGUUCAUGAGGCUGAGAGAAAUAGAAAGAGAAUAAAAAGGCACAGGAUGCGUGUAUAUUUUUCUUCAGGGUCUGAUGCAAGAGGAUGCAAUGUCAUUUGGUAUUGCUGGGUGCUUUGCACACAUGCUUUUUGAACAGAAUCGCCAAAAAGAUGGAGCUAAUAUUGAGUAAUAAAAGCUGUGCACCCGUCUCACAAAUGACAAUAACGAUUAUUCACAGAAAGCGUAGGUUACAGUCAUUCCAAGCAUCAACAAGUCCACACAAGGAUGGCAGUAGGACAUCAAUACGCUCGGCAGAAGACAGACAAACAAUUCAAGCUGUACUUGGUUGACAACACUUACUGUGUCUGAGGUUUUGUUGGGAUUAGGAUGUGAGUUGGAGCUAUGCAGGGUGCUGUGGUUGUGAGAGUUUUCAUGUGGGGAAUUACUGGUCCCUGCAACACAAGACGGAAGAGACGUUGUUCAUCGCAAGCAACAAUUACGGGUCCAAAGUCUGUUUAAGAACAUUUCCUCCACUUAGCAAGCAUUUAUACCUUUCAGAGCAGGCUGUCUCAUCGUUGACACGGGUGUGUGUGCAGCUUUUCAUUGACAACUUUUAAAUAAUAAAAAUAAUAAACCAAGCUGGAUUGUGUAUUGUAUGUAUUCUCCUGUCACAUCCUAUCCACUUUGGACAAAGUUUGCCAUGCAUGAACGAUCAGAGGCUGCAACGGCAAACACAGCUCAGUGUGAUAAGACACAGACUGCAUUUGGCAGCUAUUGAAAUGCAAGAAGGAAAAUCCUACAGACAUCUUCACAUGCUUCCAAGUGAAAACAACAGGUCCUCCCCCUCCUGUAUUGUAGUCGACCUGCAGUGAGCAACUAUCCAUCCAUCCAAUUUCUAUACCGCUUCUCCUCUUUAGGG
Molecule: long non-coding RNA, 5689 nt
Organism: Dunckerocampus dactyliophorus (ringed pipefish)
Lineage: Eukaryota; Metazoa; Chordata; Actinopteri; Syngnathiformes; Syngnathidae
Exons: 3
Source: RefSeq, a predicted model, not a curated record